RNAcentral lists this ribosomal RNA (99 nucleotides) under Neisseria meningitidis. Its description in RNAcentral is "partial 16S ribosomal RNA". It matches the Rfam family "Bacterial small subunit ribosomal RNA", at positions 1233 to 1331 of the family's 1533-position model. Lineage: Bacteria; Pseudomonadati; Pseudomonadota; Betaproteobacteria; Neisseriales; Neisseriaceae. The record is from RNAcentral.
GUCGGUACAGAGGGUAGCCAAGCCGCGAGGCGGAGCCAAUCUCACAAAACCGAUCGUAGUCCGGAUUGCACUCUGCAACUCGAGUGCAUGAAGUCGGAA